Molecule: long non-coding RNA, 439 nt
Organism: Mesocricetus auratus (golden hamster)
Lineage: Eukaryota; Metazoa; Chordata; Mammalia; Rodentia; Cricetidae
Exons: 3
Source: RefSeq, a predicted model, not a curated record
GACAGACAGGUGAAGCUGGCUGGCUGUCAGAGAGAUAAGGGGAGCUAGGCCAGUCCUCCAGAGGUCAGUCAGCCAGACACGAAGGAAACAGGACAGCAAGAGGGACAGUACACAGACGAGGUAAACAAACCUUGGGGCAGCACAUAGAGGUUUCAAGAUUUUCUUCGGGAAGAUGUGAAAUAAUUAUCCACGCCUGUGACCUUGCAGAGCCAAUACUUUAUUGCUAAUUACUGUGCUAUUUGCUAAGUCUUGAUGCACAGCCAUGGAGUUGGGAGAGGAUUUGGAACAGGCCCCAGGAGUGACAGCCUGACUAAGAACAACAGAGUGAGGAAGGAAAGGGAUAAUGGAUGUACCCAACGGGUUGACAAGGUUCUGGACCGCCAAUGAUUCAGGGGAUUUGUGGUAAAAGUUUCCUACUUACCAACACAUAAGAACUAAC